This 254-nucleotide ribosomal RNA is filed under the name uncultured bacterium. RNAcentral describes it as "partial 16S ribosomal RNA". It matches the Rfam family "Bacterial small subunit ribosomal RNA", at positions 524 to 776 of the family's 1533-position model. The record is from RNAcentral.
UACGUAGGGUGCAAGCGUUGUCCGGAAUUAUUGGGCGUAAAGAGCUCGUAGGCGGUUUGUCGCGUCUGCUGUGAAAACCUAAGGCUCAACCUUGGGCUUGCAGUGGGUACGGGCAGACUAGAGUGCGGUAGGGGUGACUGGAAUUCCUGGUGUAGCGGUGAAAUGCGCAGAUAUCAGGAGGAACACCGAUGGCGAAGGCAGGUCUCUGGGCAUUAACUGACGCUGGAGGAGCGAAAGCGUGGGGAGCAAACAGG